RNAcentral lists this ribosomal RNA (300 nucleotides) under uncultured Thermoplasmatales archaeon. RNAcentral describes it as "bacterial SSU rRNA". It matches the Rfam family "Archaeal small subunit ribosomal RNA", at positions 1094 to 1394 of the family's 1478-position model. Lineage: Archaea; Methanobacteriati; Thermoplasmatota; Thermoplasmata; Thermoplasmatales. The record is from RNAcentral.
CUUUAGAGGGACCGCCAGUGCUAAACUGGAGGAAGGAGGGGUCGACGGCAGGUCAGUACGCCCCGAAUCUCCCGGGCAACACGCGCGCUACAAAGGGCAGGACAAUGAGUUGCCACCUCGAAAGGGGGAGCUAAUCUCGAAACCUGUUCGUAGUUAGGAUUGAGGGCUGUAACUCGCCCUCAUGAAUGUGGAUUCCGUAGUAAUCGCGGGUCAACAGCCCGCGGUGAAUAUGCCCCUGCUCCUUGCACACACCGCCCGUCAAACCAUCCGAGCUGGUGCUGGAUGAGGGUAUGCUCUUAU